Macrobrachium nipponense is the source of this 753-nucleotide long non-coding RNA. RefSeq lists it as uncharacterized. The transcript has 7 exons. NCBI's taxonomy places the organism in Eukaryota, Metazoa, Arthropoda, Malacostraca, Decapoda, Palaemonidae. The record is from RefSeq and is a predicted model, not a curated record.
UUUUUUUUUUUUUUUUUUUAUUAAUCGGAGUGUUGACUCGAUUGUGAUGGUGAUGUUUUGUAAGAGGUCGUCCUUCUUAUAAUGAUCUUCCCACGGUCGUAAGUGAUUCCAUGGCACCGCCAACGAUUCUACUUCAACCUACCUAUUGGAAUUAUUUCUAGCGUAGAAACGCCAAUGUCAGUGACCUACUCCCGAUUAAUUCCGAAAGUACCAGCGCUAGGGAGAGAGAAGGAACAAUGGCGCCCCCACCCCCCUCUGGCUAUGAACAAAGCCCGAACUGCGAUCUCACAAGAUACCGAACCAAAAUUUGAUGGACGUGAUAGUAACCCUCCCAGUGGCAUAAUUAAGGAAUUCCAGUAGUUUUAAAGCUUGCAGUCUACCCUUUGUCGGCAAAUUCGAUGGGGUAGUGAGACAUGAUUGUGGCAUAUGAUGGACAGGGGACCCCUGAGAAUAAUUGGCUUUUUUUAUCUUUUCGAUUUGGUGAAGCUAGGUUCAUUUUACACGGAUAAGCUUCAUUUCAGCUAAAAUCCUGUAAAGUAACCAAAGAAUAUUCUUAAGGUAGUUAAAUCAUGGCAAAAGAAAACUGAUACUAUAGAAAUGCCUACUUGCCAUGAUGACCAAAGGUAAUUUUGUUUGAUGGAACUGUCCAAAGCAUUUUCACUUCCUUUCCAUCCCUAUAGUGACCACCGCAGAGUUUGGUGCUUAAAUAUCACGUGUAACAAAACUACAGCUCAGAGAAUCUCUUCAGCCGAG